RNAcentral lists this ribosomal RNA (430 nucleotides) under Bacteroidota bacterium. RNAcentral describes it as "Bacteroidetes bacterium partial 16S ribosomal RNA". It matches the Rfam family "Bacterial small subunit ribosomal RNA", at positions 355 to 776 of the family's 1533-position model. The record is from RNAcentral. Lineage: Bacteria; Pseudomonadati; Bacteroidota.
UAGGGAAUCUUCGGCAAUGGGGGGAACCCUGACCGAGCAACGCCGCGUGAGUGAAGAAGGUUUUCGGAUCGUAAAGCUCUGUUGUUAAGGAAGAACGAGUGUGAGAAUGGAAAGUUCAUACUGUGACGGUACUUAACCAGAAAGGGACGGCUAACUACGUGCCAGCAGCCGCGGUAAUACGUAGGUGGCAAGCGUUGUCCGGAUUUAUUGGGCGUAAAGCGAGCGCAGGCGGUCAAUUAAGUCUGAUGUGAAAGCCCCCGGCUCAACCGGGGAGGGUCAUUGGAAACUGGUUGACUUGAGUGCAGAAGAGGAGGGUGGAAUUCCAUGUGUAGCGGUGAAAUGCGUAGAUAUAUGGAGGAACACCAGUGGCGAAGGCGACUCUCUGGUCUGUAACUGACGCUGAGGCUCGAAAGCGUGGGUAGCAAACAGG